Globicephala melas (long-finned pilot whale) is the source of this 424-nucleotide long non-coding RNA. RefSeq lists it as uncharacterized. The record is from RefSeq and is a predicted model, not a curated record. NCBI's taxonomy places the organism in Eukaryota, Metazoa, Chordata, Mammalia, Artiodactyla, Delphinidae.
AUCCAGGGUUACAGCUACCGUGGACCACUCUAACAGGAAUGGCCCAAAAACUCAAUUGCUAUCCUAGCGAUCUGGCUGAACCCAUCCCAAAUACAAGUUCUCAGAGCUUCUCCACCUGGCAAAUGGUUCUCAAAAUACGGAAUGGCCUCAUGGAGUUGAUUAAAUCCUGAGCACUUCCCAGGGUCAAGAUCAAAUCAAGGGUAUAAAUGUAGAAGGUUCUGGAGGAUAAGACAUUGUGUGAAAAGUGAGUCCACAUAGAGGAGAACCAAGGCACUCCAGCUAAGCUCUUAAAUGAAUGAAGUUAUAUGAGUGAUCCCAACUGGCACUGCAUGCAGUGGAGAAUCACUGAGUCAGCCCACAGAAUUGGGAAGCCAUGGUGGAGGGGAUUCCUCUUGACACUGAGUUGUACUGGCAAGGGGGAUGG